GCCUACGGGACGCAGCAGUGAGGAAUAUUGGUCAAUGGUCGGGAGACUGAACCAGCCAAGCCGCGUGAGGGAUGAAGGUACAGAGUAUCGUAAACCUCUUUUGUCAGGGAACAAAGGCGGGGACGUGUCCCCGGAUGAGUGUACCUGAAGAAAAAGCAUCGGCUAACUCCGUGCCAGCAGCCGCGGUAAUACGGAGGAUGCGAGCGUUAUCCGGAUUUAUUGGGUUUAAAGGGUGCGCAGGCGGUCUGUUAAGUCAGCGGUCAAAGCCCGGGGCUCAACCCCGGCCCGCCGGUGAAACCGGCAGU
Molecule: ribosomal RNA, 305 nt
Filed under: uncultured bacterium
Lineage: Bacteria
Description: bacterial SSU rRNA
Rfam family: Bacterial small subunit ribosomal RNA
Source: RNAcentral